RNAcentral lists this ribosomal RNA (2901 nucleotides) under Klebsiella pneumoniae. RNAcentral describes it as "bacterial LSU rRNA". It matches the Rfam family "Bacterial large subunit ribosomal RNA". The record is from RNAcentral. Lineage: Bacteria; Pseudomonadati; Pseudomonadota; Gammaproteobacteria; Enterobacterales; Enterobacteriaceae.
UUAAGCGACUAAGCGUACACGGUGGAUGCCCUGGCAGUCAGAGGCGAUGAAGGACGUGCUAAUCUGCGAAAAGCGUCGGUAAGGUGAUAUGAACCGUUAUAGCCGGCGAUGUCCGAAUGGGGAAACCCAGUGUGAUUCGUCACACUAUCGUUAACUGAAUACAUAGGUUAACGAGGCGAACCGGGGGAACUGAAACAUCUAAGUACCCGAGGAAAAGAAAUCAACCGAGAUUCCCCCAGUAGCGGCGAGCGAACGGGGAGCAGCCCAGAGUCUGAAUCAGCUUGUGUGUUAGUGGAACGGUCUGGAAAGUCCGACGGUACAGGGUGAUAGUCCCGUACACCAAAAUGCACAGGUUGUGAACUCGAAGAGUAGGGCGGGACACGUGGUAUCCUGUCUGAAUAUGGGGGGACCAUCCUCCAAGGCUAAAUACUCCUGACUGACCGAUAGUGAACCAGUACCGUGAGGGAAAGGCGAAAAGAACCCCGGCGAGGGGAGUGAAAAAGAACCUGAAACCGUGUACGUACAAGCAGUGGGAGCACCUUCGGGUGUGACUGCGUACCUUUUGUAUAAUGGGUCAGCGACUUAUAUUCUGUAGCAAGGUUAACCGUAUAGGGGAGCCGCAGGGAAACCGAGUCUUAACUGGGCGUUAAGUUGCAGGGUAUAGACCCGAAACCCGGUGAUCUAGCCAUGGGCAGGUUGAAGGUUGGGUAACACUAACUGGAGGACCGAACCGACUAAUGUUGAAAAAUUAGCGGAUGACUUGUGGCUGGGGGUGAAAGGCCAAUCAAACCGGGAGAUAGCUGGUUCUCCCCGAAAGCUAUUUAGGUAGCGCCUCGUGAAUUCAUCUUCGGGGGUAGAGCACUGUUUCGGCUAGGGGGUCAUCCCGACUUACCAACCCGAUGCAAACUACGAAUACCGAAGAAUGUUAUCACGGGAGACACACGGCGGGUGCUAACGUCCGUCGUGAAGAGGGAAACAACCCAGACCGCCAGCUAAGGUCCCAAAGUCAUGGUUAAGUGGGAAACGAUGUGGGAAGGCACAGACAGCCAGGAUGUUGGCUUAGAAGCAGCCAUCAUUUAAAGAAAGCGUAAUAGCUCACUGGUCGAGUCGGCCUGCGCGGAAGAUGUAACGGGGCUAAACCAUGCACCGAAGCUGCGGCAGCGACACUAUGUGUUGUUGGGUAGGGGAGCGUUCUGUAAGCCUGCGAAGGUGUGCUGUGAGGCAUGCUGGAGGUAUCAGAAGUGCGAAUGCUGACAUAAGUAACGAUAAAGCGGGUGAAAAGCCCGCUCGCCGGAAGACCAAGGGUUCCUGUCCAACGUUAAUCGGGGCAGGGUGAGUCGACCCCUAAGGCGAGGCCGAAAGGCGUAGUCGAUGGGAAACAGGUUAAUAUUCCUGUACUUGGUGUUACUGCGAAGGGGGGACGGAGAAGGCUAUGUUAGCCGGGCGACGGUUGUCCCGGUUUAAGCAUGUAGGCUGGUUGUCCAGGCAAAUCCGGAUAAUCAAGGCUGAGGUGUGAUGACGAGGCACUACGGUGCUGAAGUAACAAAUGCCCUGCUUCCAGGAAAAGCCUCUAAGCAUCAGGUAACAUCAAAUCGUACCCCAAACCGACACAGGUGGUCAGGUAGAGAAUACCAAGGCGCUUGAGAGAACUCGGGUGAAGGAACUAGGCAAAAUGGUGCCGUAACUUCGGGAGAAGGCACGCUGGUGUGUAGGUGAAGUCCCUGCGGAUGGAGCUGAGACCAGUCGAAGAUACCAGCUGGCUGCAACUGUUUAUUAAAAACACAGCACUGUGCAAACACGAAAGUGGACGUAUACGGUGUGACGCCUGCCCGGUGCCGGAAGGUUAAUUGAUGGGGUUAUCCGUAAGGAGAAGCUCUUGAUCGAAGCCCCGGUAAAACGGCGGCCGUAACUAUAACGGUCCUAAGUAGCGAAAUUCCUUGUCGGGUAAGUUCCGACCUGCACGAAUGGCGUAAUGAUGGCCAGGCUGUCUCCACCCGAGACUCAGUGAAAUUGAACUCGCUGUGAAGAUGCAGUGUACCCGCGGCAAGACGGAAAGACCCCGUGAACCUUUACUAUAGCUUGACACUGAACAUUGAGCCUUGAUGUGUAGGAUAGGUGGGAGGCUUUGAAGCGUGGACGCCAGUCUGCGUGGAGCCAACCUUGAAAUACCACCCUUUAAUGUUUGAAUGUUCUAACGUUGGCCCCUUACCGGGGUUGCGGACAGUGUCUGGUGGGUAGUUUGACUGGGGCGGUCUCCUCCCAAAGCGUAACGGAGGAGCACGAAGGUUAGCUAAUCCUGGUCGGACAUCAGGAGGUUAGUGCAAUGGCAUAAGCUAGCUUGACUGCGAGCGUGACGGCGCGAGCAGGUGCGAAAGCAGGUCAUAGUGAUCCGGUGGUUCUGAAUGGAAGGGCCAUCGCUCAACGGAUAAAAGGUACUCCGGGGAUAACAGGCUGAUACCGGCCCAAGAGUUCAUAUCGACGGCGGUGUUUGGCACCUCGAUGUCGGCUCAUCACAUCCUGGGGCUGAAGUAGGUCCCAAGGGUAUGGCUGUUCGCCAUUUAAAGUGGUACGCGAGCUGGGUUUAGAACGUCGUGAGACAGUUCGGUCCCUAUCUGCCGUGGGCGCUGGAGAAUUGAGGGGGGCUGCUCCUAGUACGAGAGGACCGGAGUGGACGCAUCACUGGUGUUCGGGUUGUCAUGCCAAUGGCACUGCCCGGUAGCUAAAUGCGGAAGAGAUAAGUGCUGAAAGCAUCUAAGCACGAAACUUGCCCCGAGAUGAGUUCUCCCUGAGACUUUAAGUCUCCUGAAGGAACGUUAAAGACGAUGACGUUGAUAGGCCGGGUGUGUAAGCGCAGCGAUGCGUUGAGCUAACCGGUACUAAUGAACCGUGAGGCUUAACCUU